Sturnus vulgaris (Common starling) is the source of this 2222-nucleotide non-coding RNA. The record is from RefSeq and is a predicted model, not a curated record. Lineage: Eukaryota; Metazoa; Chordata; Aves; Passeriformes; Sturnidae.
UCCUCCCUGCCAUGAUGGGGGUUGAGGGGAGUGACCAUACAGGUGCAUGGUAUUUAAUUUGUGGCUGGGAUUAAACCAUAAAAACAACUGGUUUCAUCUGCAUUGGGAUACACAGGAGAAUCCUGAUAUAUGGUUCUUGAGACCCUUCCUAGCUCCUCUGCUUAAAGCAUUUGUUCUGAAAGCUAUGUACCUGCCACUGCUCCACUCAUCUCUAAUGGAUAACUUGAUGUCUGACCUAACAGCUUAUUUAAAUGUUUAUUGUGCUGGGUCUGGAGAGCACCUUGUGAGCACAAAGGUAGGUAUGUCUUGGAUUAUUUCUCUGAUUAGUGAUUGGAUCUAAGGCUCUGAUGGAUAAACUCUGGAGGACCCAGUUACAGAAGCUUCCUUUUGUGCAGCUGUACACCCUGCUUUAUGCUUCAUACCUUGUUUCCUGUGUGCAGCAGCAGAAGUGCUGGUGUCUGUAUCUACCUAGCUCCAUUUCCUGUUAGUGCAGUGCAGAACCCACCCCACGUUUGCCUAGUGGAUGGUGAGUUUUGCAGCUCUUAAGGCAUGAGCACAGUCAUUUGCACCUUCUGUUCUCUCUCCUCAGAGACUGAGAACCACUGGGCUCAACAGGGACUGUGUAGAUGUGUGAGGAUAUGAAGAGUGACAGGCAGGUGUAAAGUGCUGGUACCUGGAGCUGACAGAGUUGCUUUGUUUUGGGUCACAUCAUCCUUGUGGUUUUCAACAUAUUCAGGAGUGCUUGAUUUGAGACUUAUGCAUGAUUGCAUGUACCUGUCUGAUUUACAAGCAACAGUAAAGUAUUGCCAGUGGUUCACAGCAGCCAAAAGAGAUAAUGCAACAUUCUUGUUGAUGUAGUACUGGCAGAAGAGGAUGAAGAAGAAAAUAGAGAAAAAACUAAUAAAAAGGAAGGAAAUGAAAAGAAAGGCAUCUCAUUGAUCCUGAUGUUUUUGGAAAGCCCAUUUACAUGGAGCUGCCAGAGGAGCUGUGUCAGCUGGCAGACAUGGAGAAACUAAGAAGGGAGAAAGCAAUAGAAGACUACAGAAUGAAUGAGGAUGGUCUUUUGAUCAAACCAGCCAUGGAAUUUAAUAGAGAGAAACAAUUCACAGAAGAAUAGAAACUACAGAGGUGAUGGGGAUUGCUUUCCCACAAAGAAAAAAAAGCAGGGUCUCAAAUCACAUCCUGCAACAAUCAAGGAUGUACUUUGUCAAAGCAGAGCUUGAAAAUCAAAUUCGUGUGGUAAAAUCUGCGAGAGGACCUUAAACUGACCUCAAACAGACUGUAUGAAUUUAAUUUCUGACACGGGUGAUUUGAUGAGCUUAGAUUGGGUGUUUGGAAUCAUCCAAGGGAAAAAAGGGGCUAUUCUCCUUUUUUGGUCAAACAAAAGCUCCUGACUUUAGAGUGACAGGUAAUUCAACAUUCCAUUGUUGAAUGGAAAUGAUGGUCUGUCUUUUGGAGGAAAUUCCUGCUGUGUCUGACUGUUCUUCUCUAGGUCUGUUUUUGAGAUCCAUUUUUCCAAGAGCUAUUUUUGAUUUUAAAAGAGUGGCUUUUAUUUUUCUAACGUUGUUAACAGACCACUUUCUUAAACUGUAUUGAUUCUUUUGUUACUUGUUGCAAGUAUGUAAAAUUCUCAUUAGAGCAGCUUCCUGCUGGAAGUUGCAGACCACCCUUGUUUGCCAGCACUGCUGCAUCCAACUCAUGAGGAUAAGGCUAUAACACCACUGUGCUGUCUGGUGUGUGUAAAAAGCUGUUUAGGAGGUGUAGAGCAGCCCCUCCCAAAGCAAAAUAAGGUACUAAGACAAAACUGCUGCUCUACCACAGGACAAAAGUAAUGUAGGUCAGGCCUCAGUCUCAGAACAAAUUUUCUGAUAUAUCAGUGAACACCGAUGAAUGUAGAAUAGGGAAGUAUGGAAAAAGUCAAAGGUUACUGUGCCAACGAGGUUGCAGUCCAAGAACAAUCUGGGCAUCAGGCUGCAAAGGUGGGAAUAAUGACACCAGCUUGGAAGGGAUGUGACAUCUGCAUGUGAAUACAUGCCACUACCUGUUUGAGUUGUUUUGCUUUUGAUGUAAAUUGGUGUGACUAUGUUUAUGAUGUAUCUGCACAUUUAAAAAAUAUAUUUUUAGGUGAAACAUGUUGGUUUUCUGGUGUGUUGGGUUUUUUUACCUCUCCCCACAAAGUACUAGAUUGGAAGUAUUCAAAUAAGUCUUUAUUUGAAACUGUA